Molecule: ribosomal RNA, 253 nt
Filed under: uncultured bacterium
Lineage: Bacteria
Description: partial 16S ribosomal RNA
Rfam family: Bacterial small subunit ribosomal RNA
Source: RNAcentral
CACGUAGGGUGCGAGCGUUGUCCGGAUUUAUUGGGCGUAAAGAGCUCGUAGGCGGUUUGUCGCGUCGUUCGUGAAAACUCACAGCUUAACUGUGAGCUUGCGGUCGAUACGGGCAGGCUAGAGUUCGGUAGGGGAGACUGGAAUUCCUGGUGUAGCGGUGAAAUGCGCAGAUAUCAGGAGGAACACCGGUGGCGAAGGCGGUUCUCUGGGCAUGAUCUGACGCUGAGGAGCGAAAGUGUGGGGAGCGAACAGG